CUCGUGUCACCUGAGAACUGUGCAGACUUUCCAUUAUUGGAGGAUAUUAAAGGCAGCUGAGCGAAUUGGCUUGACCCCUUAUUGGAUAUCCAGGAUCAAUGGAAAUCAGAGAAAGUGAGUUGCAUAUGGAAUGAGCCCGUUCCCCAGAGGCCAGGCCCUCUGUCUUGCCAUGGAUGCUGGAAGGAAGCCGUGACAGAGCAAAGCAGAAGCCGUCAGGGAAAGAAGAGGAAGCAUUUGUGAGUUACGCAGUUGUGUUAGAUUAUUAGAUUAAAAAUUAGAUUCUGUCCUUGCCUUUUCCUGCUGUGCCUGACUGCCUGGGGACUCUGACACGUGGGAGCUGGGAGGCACGAUUCCAUCUGGGUGAAAGCACAGGAGGACAGUGUUUGAC
This 388-nucleotide long non-coding RNA is filed under the name Gallus gallus (chicken). RNAcentral describes it as "long non-coding RNA NONGGAT001022". Lineage: Eukaryota; Metazoa; Chordata; Aves; Galliformes; Phasianidae. The record is from RNAcentral.